UACAGAGGGUGCGAGCGUUAAUCGGAAUCACUGGGCGUAAAGGGUGCGUAGGUGGUUGAAUAAGUCAGAUGUGAAAUCCCUGGGCUUAACCUAGGAAUUGCAUUUGGUACUGUUCAGCUAGAGUGCAGUAGAGGAAAGUGGAAUUUCCGGUGUAGCGGUGAAAUGCGUAGAUAUCGGAAGGAACAUCAGUGGCGAAGGCGACUUUCUGGACUGUAACUGACACUGAGGCACGAAAGCGUGGGGAGCGAACAGG
Molecule: ribosomal RNA, 253 nt
Filed under: uncultured bacterium
Lineage: Bacteria
Description: partial 16S ribosomal RNA
Rfam family: Bacterial small subunit ribosomal RNA
Source: RNAcentral